AGCCGCCGCGGGAACACCGGCGGCCCGAGUGGUGAUCGUGAUUAUUGGGUCUAAGGGUCCGUAGCCGGUUUGGUCAGCCCUCCGGGAAAUCUGAUAGCUCAACUAUUAGGCUUUCGGGGGAUACUGCCAGACUUGGAACCGGGAGAGGUAAGAGGUACUACAGGGGUAGGAGUGAAAUCUUGUAAUCCCUGUGGGACCACCUGUGGCGAAGGCGUCUUACCAGAACGGGUUCGACGGUGAGGGACGAAAGCUGGGGGCACGAACCGGAUUAGAUACCCGGGUAGUCCCAGCCGUAAACGAUGCUCGCUAGGUGUCAGGCAUGGCGCGACCGUGUCUGGUGCCGCAGGGAAGCCGUGAAGCGAGCCACCUGGGAAGUACGGCCGCAAGGCUGAAACUUAAAGGAAUUGGCGGGGGAGCACAACAACGGGUGGAGCCCUGCGGUUUAAUUGGACUCAACGCCGGACAACUCACCGGGGCGACAGCAAUAUGUAGGCCAAGCUGAAGACUUUGCCUGAAUCGCUGAGGAGUGGUGCAUGG
RNAcentral lists this ribosomal RNA (537 nucleotides) under uncultured archaeon. RNAcentral describes it as "bacterial SSU rRNA". It matches the Rfam family "Archaeal small subunit ribosomal RNA", at positions 460 to 997 of the family's 1478-position model. The record is from RNAcentral.